AUUGAACGCUGGCGGCAGGCCUAACACAUGCGAGUCGAGCGGAUGAAGGGAGCUUGCUCCUGGAUUCAGCGGCGGACGGGUGAGUAAUGCCUAGGAAUCUGCCUGGUAGUGGGGGAUAACGUCCGGAAACGGGCGCUAAUACCGCAUACGUCCUGAGGGAGAAAGUGGGGGAUCUUCGGACCUCACGCUAUCAGAUGAGCCUAGGUCGGAUUAGCUAGUUGGUGGGGUAAAGGCCUACCAAGGCGACGAUCCGUAACUGGUCUGAGAGGAUGAUCAGUCACACUGGAACUGAGACACGGUCCAGACUCCUACGUGAGGCAGCAGUGGGGAAUAUUGGACAAUGGGCGAAAGCCUGAUCCAGCCAUGCCGCGUGUGUGAAGAAGGUCUUCGGAUUGUAAAGCACUUUAAGUUGGGAGGAAGGGCAGUAAGUUAAUACCUUGCUGUUUUGACGUUACCAACAGAAUAAGCACCGGCUAACUUCGUG
RNAcentral lists this ribosomal RNA (484 nucleotides) under uncultured bacterium. RNAcentral describes it as "partial 16S ribosomal RNA". It matches the Rfam family "Bacterial small subunit ribosomal RNA", at positions 30 to 507 of the family's 1533-position model. The record is from RNAcentral.